GCACCAACCAUUGUCGUCUGCGUCCUGAUUGGCUGUAUACUAUCGUCAAUCAGUGUCCUGCAUGCCUGCUGUGAUCAUGGCUACCGAACUAGCUAACCGUAUGAACUAGCUAACCGCCAAUACCGUAAACAAUAGAAUAAACGGAAGAAGCUAACCGUGUGAAGAAAAUACGACAACAGGAGAAAUAUGUUUCAACGAGAAUACAAAAGCAGCAAAGUACAGCGGAACGGCACCACGACAACAAACCAUGAUAUCACACAACUCUGACCGAGCACCAGGACAACGUGAGAGGUGUCCUGACUGGGCUACCAAUACUCUACACACAUAUGGCAGAAGCUUCAUCUUGUUUCCUGAAAUCAGCAAACAACAAUCAAGUUAAGCAGUUCCCUUUGACUUGAUGGGAAUCGCACAUGAGACCAAAGCGUCACCUCUCGCCGUGGCCUUGUGCAGCUCUCGCUCCUGAACGAAGCCGGCGAACAUCUGCGACUCCAUGAAAAGCUGCAGGAACUGACGCACGCCGCGGGACGGGUGAGACUUGCGGAAGGUGUCGCGUUGAAGCUCCCUGUUGCCCCCGGAGGACUCGACCAUGUGGAGAGGGUAGUGGCCCACCAGCUCCACAAAGAAGCGCACAAAGGCCUCCGACACCAGCGAGCACAGGUCCACCGUCUCACCUGGAUGAUUGGGACGUGCAUGUUAAACGACUGAGUUUCUUCCUCCUUAAUUGACUAGGCUAAAAUCCAAAUAAAAAGUCAACACAGACCUUCAGUGUCAUCUCCAUCCUCC
Molecule: long non-coding RNA, 783 nt
Organism: Doryrhamphus excisus (bluestripe pipefish)
Lineage: Eukaryota; Metazoa; Chordata; Actinopteri; Syngnathiformes; Syngnathidae
Source: RefSeq, a predicted model, not a curated record